CCGCUACUGGGCCCGCCGCUAGGGCCCGGAUCCGCAGUGCUGGGGACGAUGGUAGUGUUGCUCACGGCGCUGCUCGCGGCGUUCUCCCUCCUGCUUCAACACAUCAAACACACAGCAAGGAGGGGGAAGAGGAACCGGUUCGUGGGAGAUUUACUGUCAGUUCUGAGAAGUCAGGCUUGUGAACCAUGGUCCUAUCCUGGCAUCAAUUCAAGUAAACAUGACUGCCAAAGAAUUUUUCAAGGUCCAGAUGAGUUGAUAUCAGAUACUGAUCAAGGCACACCUGAAAGUCCAAGAACCUGAGAUUGAAGGGUAUGCUACCUAUUGAAACCACUCUUCAACAGGAAGCAGGGAAAUGUGAAGUGACUUCAGUAACAGAAGAAUGUAAAUAAGUCUCUUUAUAACUGAAGGGGUUAUUGAGAUUACUUCAGAAGUUUUAAAGUAAUUUGAAUAAAUUAUCAUACGUUUUUUCCUGAUUUCAAUGUCUCUACUCAAAAAGAGGUUGUUCAAAAUUGAACGAAAUGUCUCCAGACAAGAACCGCUGCAUUCAGGCCAACCAUCCGAUUCGAUGCCUUCGGGGUGGAGAGAGGGAGAAAGUAAAAGGCACCAAAUCACCCUAGUUGCCCAGGCCUAAAAGGCAGGGUGUCAUUUUUGAUUUCCUUCAAGAAACUUCCAGAUUGGAGUGCAGUGGCACGAUCCUGGCUCACUGCAACCUCUGCCUCCCGGGUUCAAGAGA
Molecule: long non-coding RNA, 733 nt
Filed under: Homo sapiens (human)
Lineage: Eukaryota; Metazoa; Chordata; Mammalia; Primates; Hominidae
Description: HSALNT0367014
Source: RNAcentral